Molecule: long non-coding RNA, 6227 nt
Filed under: Salvia miltiorrhiza (redroot sage)
Lineage: Eukaryota; Viridiplantae; Streptophyta; Magnoliopsida; Lamiales; Lamiaceae
Description: long non-coding RNA (SMIL_LNC006715)
Source: RNAcentral
GGAGAUACGGCAGCUCCGCCACGUCCGAUUCCGCGAUCAACCGCCUGCAUCCCACGUGGCCGUCGAUUUCGGAUUGCGCUUUUUUUAGGAUUUCUGGAUUGUCCAGCAGCAGAGAAAAUGCCCAUUCUAGGGCGAUUGUUGAAGUUGAGGUUCCUCCUUGGAGCAGCACCUGAAAUUAUUAAUUAAUUUCUUUAUUGUUUUAAAUAAAUCUCCCACGAUGCUUCACAUUCUCAAUUUGUAAAUUCUAAUGACUCCGUGUGGGUUGAAUAUGAAAUUUAUUUAGAAAAAUAAUGCGAAAAGAGUUGAAUAAUAAAUUCAGCAUAUUUUAUUCAAGGAUCUCCUUCAAGCAGUAUUUUAUUAUAGCGAACAAGUAACAACCAAGGCUGGUAAUGCUGAGUUCAUGUAUGAUUGAAUAAAAUAUAAGAUCAUGACACAAACCAUCAUGAGUCAUCAAGUAUGUAAGCAUCAACUAUAAUUUAUAUUGUUCUGAGUUCAUUUGGAAAUAAAUUAAAAUUAGGGCGUGUUUGGUUUUGGGUUUUACAGCAUAUUAGUUAAGUUAAUACAGAGUAGUAAAGAGUUUGGUAUUUUAUAACACUUAUGCGGACGGUUCUGCGAUAUGUGAAGGCCCUGAGCUAAAAAUCCGGAUUGCGCAGGAUAAUUAAUACCGCCCCCCUCGGAUUACGCAGGAUAAUUAAUACGGCAUUGCAAUUGUGUCAAUUUUUAAGCUUAUCUAACCUUGAAAUAUGAAUACCAAACGAAAAUCAUGAUUAAUUAACCAUAAUAACAAACAACCAACCAAUAUUAGUAACACAUAUUUAUCCAUGCUAAUAAUCUAAUUUACUAACUAUACUGACUAAUUCCUUACCCAAAACCAAACACGCCCUUAGUGUUCAAAAUCAAUGAAUAUUUCGCUAAAUUUAAAUUGUUGAUUAGAGUUUUGGUAGGUUAUAGUAAUUUAAUUUAAUUUUAUCCACAUCUACAUAUUCUUAAUUGCAGAUAUUAUACCUUAUGAUUCAUAUUGGAUGAACAAGUAUUAAUUAUUGUGACAAAUAUCUUGAAUUUUAUCAACAUUUUCUGUCAUUUCUUAAUAGUGAAGACAAUCAAAAUUCUAGUUAGAGAUUAUCCUAACAAACGUGCAAGUUGCAAUCAACAAACUCAAAGAACCAAUAGAAUUAAAGAGGCAUAUUUGGUAAGUUCAGCGAAUAAGCAUAUAUCUUGAGUAAUCCGAUUAAUUUAUAAACUGAGGUUUAUUGCUGCUGACAGCCUGUAUUAUCCCAUGACACUGCACUAUUUCUUUUGCGGAAGUUAAUUUGAUUUAAGUGAUAAACACAUGAUUGAUAAAAUAAUUUUAUUUAAUCAAAUGUUCGAUUUAAUAACUUGACUUGCAGCCUAAUCAUAUAAUUUGAUGAUUAUUUAACACCUUAAAGUUAAAUUAAUUAUUUAAUCAUCCUGGAUCCUAUCUUAUAAAUCUUAUUUAUCACGUGCACCGAACCAAACUUUUCCUUAUAAUAUAUAUUUCCUAAACAAAAGUACAUGAUCACUAGCUAAUUUGCAUACAUGAGAAUAUUUUGAAUUAUCUUCAAAUUAGUGCGGUAUGGAAUAUCAUUAAAGAUUUUUAUAAAUAAUUUGUGUAUGAUAACUAUUACCGUCAAUGCAAAAUUUAAAUUUGUUCUACAACAAAUCUAUUAAUAAUUUUCAUAACAUAGUGUAUCACUAGCUAAAGCAAUUAUUAUUGAUUUGCUUUUGUGAAAAUAAUAAAAAUAUCCACAUUACAUUAAUAUAUAUCACAGAAUUUAAAUUAGAAGAUCUUAAUUUAAGAGAAUUAUGUUUGAGACUCUGCUGAAUUGGAAGUUUAAUAUAAAAAGAAGAAAUAAAAACCCUUGAAUGCACAAGACGCAAGCAAGGAACAGAGACUCUAAAAGAGUCCGAAAAACAAAAACAACAACGCGCAGAAAAGUCUAAACGUUACCGCAAAAACCAACAAUCAAAAAGUAAAAUCCAUAUUGGAAUGAUAAUCAUCCUUGUUGCGAUCAUUUUCCAUGUCUAUUACAUCCGACCAACGGAUGUUCGGAAUAUUGGAAUGAUAAUCAUCCUUGUUGCGAUCAUUUUCCAUGUCUAUUACAUCCGACCAACGGAUGUUCGGAAUAUUGUUCAUAGUACGCAUCGCGUUGCUGCUACUAUGAUCAACCACGAAGUUGUUCUGCUGAAAUCCAAUACCCUCCGCAUUUCUUAGGCGGUUUUUAACGCUAUUAGUCGGAACUGCAUGUACAAGCUCCCUUCCUUUUCCCGAGCCUUUUGGACGGCCACGUCCGCGCUUCGGCUCCGAGGGCAAUAACAUCUCUUGAUUAACCUGGUCCUCUAACCGAUUUAUACGACUAGCAAUAUCCUCCGGAGUAGGAUUGGACUGCUUAUCUCCAACAACCUCCUUUUGAAUCGAAUAAUGAACCUGCUCACUCACAAAACCAUCUGUCCCAACCUCCGACUGCUGCUCCGCCACUGCAUCCUUAAGCGCCAAAGUUUCAUUUCGCAAGCUAUUGCCCUCCUCUGCAGCAGCUGCCACAUUCUUCGCAAGAUUCACGACUCCAUUCGGCGUCUCCAUCUCUAUUUCCUCAUCCACAUCCUCAUCGUUGCCAUCCAGUUGAUGCUCCGAAGUUACCGGGACAAGCACAACUUCCAACGAAUCAGGCCCUGACAAAAAACGGUCAUCCCUCUCGUUCACCUCCUCAUGGGACGUCACAACCUGCUCCAUAACAUUCGACUGUAAAGCAGCAAACCUAUUCUCAAUAAGGGUUGCAGCGCAUGAUGAGACCUUCUGCUGCACCGCAUGCUGUUCCUCGACAACCUCUUGUCGUAUCAAGUUAUUUCCAUGUGCUGGUGAAGCCCGCACCUGUUCAGAUUGUAGCCCCACCGGAAUCGAUUCACCCCAAGAAAUCCCUGGCUCAGAAACCUCCUGCCAUUGUUUCGCCAUUGCUUGUUGUUUUCCAGCCUGCUUCAUAGUAGCCUCCACUGGCGGAUUAGUUUUACGACACUUAUCGGGAGGAUGCCCCGUAAUCUUACAUUUGGAACAAUAAUACGGUAAGUACUCGUAAGUAAACUCAACAUGAAAAGAAUAGUCACCCCCAUCAAAAAGAAGCGUGGUAGGGAGAGAUUUGGACAUAUCUAACUCCACAAGAACACGCGCGAACUGUCCGAAAUCUCGAGUAAUCGAAGCACCAUCAAUCUUCAGCGGAUGGCCCACGAAACGUGCAAUUCCAGCCAGCACCUCCGCAUGCCAAUAUUCGAUAGGCAAAUAAUGUAUACGAAUCCAAACGUUUGCCAACGACGAGAGUUCUUUAAACGGAUCAAAGUUCUUCACCCACUCGCGAAGGCGGAGAUGUCCAUUAAAAACUUCCCAAAUCAACUUGGCUUUAGCUCGUUGUUUAUCCGCUGCGUUCUGGAAGACUAUGGUAUAGUAUCCUUUACCCAAAGGAAUGAGUUGCCAAGGCGAACUUAUAUUCCACAUGUUAUGAAGCUCAUUUUUAAUCAUCAACGCAGGCUUGGGCUUCUCCCCUUUGUUUAACAACAACCUUCCCGUCAAAGCAUGAUUAAGGUCAGAAAUCUGUUUCAAAUGAAGCUCUGUAGGCAUCUUGAAACAGUAGUGAUCACCUUCUUUUGUAGGGCGUAGAGCAUGAUAAUGAUGUGCAGCAACAUCCGGACGACGCGGCGUCCGAUUCGCAGUAAUAUCGACAUAUGAUUUGACAAGAGUCGUCUCAGCCGUCUUCUGUUGGGAGCGGUUAUUUGCUGGCACAAUAUAAGAAUUAUUCCCUGGAAGAUUGGCAUUAGGAGCCAUGUUUCGACUGCGCUGAUCAGCAGACGAGCCAUCUACAUGAAACUGGUGUGACGCAGGCUGAACAGAUCCCGCCAACCCCAUAGGCGGGCUAGGGUUCCGGUGCAGCUGAGAUGCCUCUGGCAGAAGAGAGCUUGACACAGUAGCAAUUCGUCCCGAUGGGCUAGGAUUUUUCUUGUGUGGCAGGGAAGAAUUAUGAGUAAAAUUGUUGGAGACAACCGGUAGGUUAAGCCCACCCGUUGACAUGAUUGCAGAAGCGGCGGCGGCGGCAAGAGAUUUCCGAGCGAGCAGCGUCUAACAGCUGGUUGCGGCGUGUUGAUUCCUCCAACGGCGGAGGCGAGCAGGGGCACGGCUGUCGGCGGAGGCGAGCAGCGGUAGAGUCUCGCUGAAACGGCCUUCCGCCCAGAUGGCAGCGGUACGGCGGCUGCUCGGUCGGUCAACGGCCGGUCGUGGGGUCUCGGCUGAAAGCCUCUCUCAUCCUUGCCCAGGUGAACCACGGCAUGCGGAGGAGGCGGCGCUGAGGCUGCUGCUGACGUGCCGUGGUGUGUACUGCCGGAGGAGCGAGUCGAUCAGCGGCUGCGGGAGGAGAAGGCUGCUGCCGACGUGCCGUGGUGUGACCGGAGGAGGAGGGGUGGGGAUCCCCUUUUUGGCUCCUCCGUAUGGGCGCGGCGGAGAUGGCGCAAAGUCACUCACGCCUCCUUAAAGUCACGCACGCAUCCCAUUUUUCAAAAGAUGAACAGUGCAGAGCACUUUCAAAAGAUGAACAGUGCAGAGCACUUUUAUAUAAUCACACGAAACUUGAAUAAGAUUCCCCAAAUAUAUAUGUACAUAUUUAUAUCAUAUGUAAGCUAGUCUACGCAGCUAAUGUAUUUUUAAUUUUGAUGUGAUUUAUAUGACAAUCGAAUACAUUAUAUAGGUGCUUACAGAAGUGCUUAUAAUAUAUAUAUAUAUGUGUGUGUGUGUGUGUGUGUCAUGUGGUGGCUAAUAAAGUUCACAACCUAGGCAUGCAGUAAAUUUAAGUAUUAUGCGUGUGCAUAAAAGGAAACAAAUACAGAUGCAUGCAUCAUGCAGUGUUAUCAAUCUCAUGGAAAACCAAAUCCAAUAAUGCAACGCACAAACAAUUUGGAUGGCAUCUAUUUCUAGUCUAAUUAUCCAAUUCUGCAAUCACAAUAAUAAAGUUAUCUAAUAUUGAUGCAAUCUUUAGCUUACACCAAAAAUAUAUCACAAAAUGUGUCACGAUAUUUUUAGGUAUAACAAAGUAUAGCUAUAUUCACACAUAUAUUUACAUACUUUUGUUACACACAUAAAAAUAUAAGUGAAUUUUAUAAAAAAAUAAAUAUACAAUAAAUUUUGUAACAUCUAAAUUAUCUCAAAAUANCUCAGAAGCAUUUUUUGAGUUAGGCCCAUUCUCUUUCUUUAUCACUGGACCAAUGCUGUCAGUAGAGUAGUAUCAAUUUAAUUUAGCCGAAUGGAACCUAAUAAUUAUGAACAUUUUAGAAACUCUUCCUUUUAAUUCCAAAAUAUUCAGAAACUUAUAUUUGAGUUGUUAGUAAAAUUAAUUAAAACUCGAAUCCAAUUUAGCUAAUUAAUAUACUCUACUGAUUCUCUGAUGAAAACAAAUUAAGUUAACAACUAUUCAGAAUGUGUAUCAAUACAAAAUGAUAUCAUUAUAAUUAUAUAAAAGUAUUAUUUGGAGAAAAGGAGGAUAGAUUAGGUUAAGAGAAAAAAUGAUGAAUAAAUGGACGAGGCGUACAUUUAGCCAUUAAUGGUUGAACCUUAGGCGUUGUGGUUCCAGCACCUUCGGUCAUAUCAAUCUCCCCAACUUUGUCCCAUUGGAAACACUGGAUCAAGGAUCCGAGGCCCAGCCCGAUAUUCAAGUUGGCCAAGUUCUCGCCCGGGCAGGCCCGUCUACCCGACCCGAAAGGGAAAAACUGCAGCCCCAAAUCCUUCUUCACAUCCACUCCCUCAAAGCGUUCGGGCCUGAAAGUCUCCGGGUCGGCCCAUAUUUUGGGGCUGUUGUGGAUUUCCCACAAAUUCACCAGCAAGACCGUCCCCGCCGGUACCCGGUAGCCGCCCACCGCGCACUCCGACGACGAGAGGUGCGGCAUCACUAUGGACACCGGAGGGUGCAGCCGCAUCGCCUCUAGGAUGAUGUGCCGGAGAUACGGCAGCUCCGCCACGUCCGAUUCCGCGAUCAACCGCCUGCAUCCCACGUGGCCGUCGAUUUCGGAUUGCGCUUUUUUUAGGAUUUCUGGAUUGUCCAGCAGCAGAGAAAAUGCCCAUUCUAGGGCGAUUGUUGAAGUUGAGGUUCCUCCUUGGAGCAGCACCUGAAAUUAUUAAUUAAUUUCUUUAUUGUUUUAAAUAAAUCUCCCACGAUGCUUCACAUUCUCAAUUUGUAAAU